Molecule: long non-coding RNA, 1321 nt
Filed under: Solanum tuberosum (potato)
Lineage: Eukaryota; Viridiplantae; Streptophyta; Magnoliopsida; Solanales; Solanaceae
Description: long non-coding RNA (STUB_LNC011256)
Source: RNAcentral
GACCUUGGACACACUAGAUUUGUAAAUGUGGUGGAUAGAUGACGGUGAGCUCAGUUGCCCCUAUAAUAUCUUGGGUUUGGUUAUCUUUCAAAAACUUUUUGCAUUUUAUAUUCUUCAAGUUUUGUGCUAUUUUGCUUUCUAUCGUGGUACUCAUCAUUAUUCCUAUACUUGCUGUAAUAUUGCAGAUUGCUUCGCUCAUUUGAACAAGAAUGAUAAACCUCAAGGUAAGCAACUUGUUUUUGUGACAUUGGUGAAUGUUGUUUUCCGCAGUAGAUGGUGUAUUUUAUUCCUGAAAUAUGAAAAUGCAAACCGUUAUCAUGCUAAAUUUUUGAGCUAAUACUGUGUACUCAAGUUGAAAUAGAUUUGAUUCGUGAAAUUCUUAAACUGAGAUCAAUUCUCAUGUCUAAUUAAAUGAGCUUAUCUAGGUGUGGAGUAGCAAAAAAAUUGAGAGUUAUAUUGUCUUGGAGAUACUUUAGCUUUUCAAGAGAAAAGAACUAUAAUAUUUCAUUGAGUCAUGUUGUCACGACCCAACUUGUUGCCCGCGCGAAGCAAUAUGGGGCUCACCAGAAAUUUUCAACUCGUGCACUCUAACUACAUAAAUCCUUGCCAAUGUCUCCUAUGGUCUCUGUAAAAAUAUAGCGGGUAGUGAGUCACUAGCUUUUUGAAUAAUAGCACUUAACCACAAACAUGUUAUAAUGGGUAUAAGUCGGAAAACAUGCUAGUAUAAUGAUAAAAAAUAUCAUAAAUAAAUGCCCUAAUGCAACAAUAAUUAGUCUUGUCUGUUUUCUGCAAGUAUAAAUGAAUUAACAAUUCAGUAAUUUAGUCUGUAAACACUGUCAUAUCAAAUCUUAUGUUUGGGAAGUUCCCAAGAAUGAAUCAUGUAAUCGUUGUCUCUGAGAAUGAAUCAUGUAAUUGUUGUCUCUCCUUGCCUUGAGAGGUAACCAAUAAUGGUGGACCUCUCGUAAAGGAGUCAAAUACAACGGGUAGGUCCCUAUUCAAGGGAAAUCGGCAAUUGUAUGCUACCUUUCCGCUAGCGAGGGUUGUACCGGUAAUCUGUAAAUAUAAGGUGCAUCAGGUCUAAAGAACCCGUCGUUAGCUACAUGAUCCAUCAACGUCUACUCUUAAAUUAUGUUGUCUUUGUAACUAGUUUUUUCUUGUAAUAAACAUUUUUAAAACCGGUAUAGGGCAAUUUUGAUUCUUAUCAAAUCAUAUCUCUAUAUCUCCUCACUCUUUCCCAAUUUCCUGUUGACCUACAGAAAAGCUUUUGAUUAUCACAUUUGAAGGAGCAAGUGGAGACUACCUUGGUUGUACUGAUAUGGCU